ACUAUUUUGACAGAUUAAUGUGGUAAAUUUAGAAUUUACAAAUGUAAUAUUUAUUACAAAUAGUA
This 65-nucleotide transfer RNA is filed under the name Priassus spiniger. RNAcentral's name for it is "tRNA-Leu". Lineage: Eukaryota; Metazoa; Arthropoda; Insecta; Hemiptera; Pentatomidae. The record is from RNAcentral.